AUUGAACGCUGGCGGCAGGCCUAACACAUGCAAGUCGAACGAGUGGCGGACGGGUGAGUAAUGUCUGGGAAACUGACUGGUGGAGGGGGCUAACUACUGGAAACGGUAGCUAAUACCGUAUACCAUGGGUUGGGCCAAGAUGGGAUUGGCUAGUGGGUGGGGUAAAGGCUCACCUAGUCGACGAUCCCUAGCUGGUCUGAGAGGAUGACCAGCCACACUGGAACUGCGACACGGUCCAGACUCCUACGGGAGGCAGCAGUGGGGAAUAUUGCACAAUGGGCGAAAGCCUGAUGCAGCCAUGCCGCGUGUAUGAAGAAGGCCUUCGGGUUGUAAAGUACUUUCAGCGGGGAGGCGUUACCCGCAGAAGAAGCACCGGCUAACUCCGUGCCAGCAGCCGCGGUAAUUC
Molecule: ribosomal RNA, 406 nt
Filed under: uncultured bacterium
Lineage: Bacteria
Description: partial 16S ribosomal RNA
Rfam family: Bacterial small subunit ribosomal RNA
Source: RNAcentral